RNAcentral lists this ribosomal RNA (442 nucleotides) under uncultured soil bacterium. RNAcentral describes it as "bacterial SSU rRNA". It matches the Rfam family "Bacterial small subunit ribosomal RNA", at positions 26 to 467 of the family's 1533-position model. The record is from RNAcentral.
AGAUUGAACGCUGGCGGCAUGCCUUACACAUGCAAGUCGAACGGCAGCACGGACUUCGGUCUGGUGGCGAGUGGCGAACGGGUGAGUAAUAUAUCGGAACGUACCCUGGAGUGGGGGAUAACGCAGCGAAAGUUGCGCUAAUACCGCAUACGAUCUACGGAUGAAAGUGGGGGAUUCGCAAGAACCUCAUGCUCGUGGAGCGGCCGAUAUCUGAUUAGCUAGUUGGUAGGGUAAAAGCCUACCAAGGCAUCGAUCAGUAGCUGGUCUGAGAGGACGACCAGCCACACUGGGACUGAGACACGGCCCAGACUCCUACGGGAGGCAGCAGUGGGGAAUUUUGGACAAUGGGCGCAAGCCUGAUCCAGCCAUUCCGCGUGCAGGAUGAAGGCCCUGGUUGUAAACUGCUUUUGAACGGUAACGAAAGCCUUACUUCUAAUACAGG